Anser brachyrhynchus (Pink-footed goose) is the source of this 841-nucleotide long non-coding RNA. Lineage: Eukaryota; Metazoa; Chordata; Aves; Anseriformes; Anatidae. The record is from Ensembl.
GUAUCAUCUAAAACACCCCUGCAAGAGAUGGGUAUUUCACAGUAAAAAAGGUUAAAAAUACCCACAAUGCUGCAGCGCACAUGUGUACAGCAAGAAAAACAAACAGGCGGUCUCUGGAGGUAUAUUUUGAUGACAGAUGCCAGUUCUCUGUGGUCAAAUUUCGCUCUGAUUCCGUUCAGGGGAUGGGUCCCACCCAGGACAGCCGCGUGGCUCCGGACAGACGCUGCUGGAGGAUGCCGGAGGACGGGGAUGGGACGAGAUAGCUGGCACCAGCCCAGUGCUUGCAGAGCUGGCAGGGAUCCCAUGCAGGUUAAUACCGGAUUUCAGGCUGUUAUUUUCUUUUUCCUGACAUGUCGCCCAUCACAUUAUGAUUAUUAGAGUUUUCUUUUGAAGAGUUACCUGAGGUGAAGCCUAAUUGGACUCGAGGCUGCUGAGGAAGGAUGCCAGGGCUCGGGAGCGCUGCCAGCCGCUGAUGUGGCUCACGCACAGACAGCAAGCACAGUGAAGGGCUCGAUUUCAUGCCGUGAUUUAAGAUACAGCCUGUAAGAGGACACCGAUGAUAAAGCCUCGGUGCCUGCUCGAGAGCUGGAAGCAGGAACGGUGCCACUUCAAUGCACAGAGACUGAGCAGCGUUUAAUAUAAUAUUUAAGGGCAAAACAGCUAUAUAUCAAAUGACAGAAUGCAACAAAGGAGAGGCUUAAUGGCUGCGAACUUUAAUCCCGUUAGAGUUUCCAGGCUCUCUUGCUGGUUCUGGGAAGCCAGCAGCGGCUAACAGAUAGUGCAAAGCCUACCUGUUAGUGGUUUAAAUAAAAUUACCUUGAAUACAGUGAAGGUCUUAUUC